This 358-nucleotide long non-coding RNA is filed under the name Olea europaea (common olive). RNAcentral's name for it is "long non-coding RNA (OEUR_LNC003631)". The record is from RNAcentral. Lineage: Eukaryota; Viridiplantae; Streptophyta; Magnoliopsida; Lamiales; Oleaceae.
UGUGUGUGAGAUUAGCCAACAUUGAACUAACACCUAUAUUAGAAUACAACCAAUCAAGUCUUGUUGAUUUAUUCAUAGUCCCAACCCUCUUGUGGUCAUUUUUCCUCACACCUCUCGUGUAACAAUCACUCCUUAUGCUUUUCUCUCCAAUCUUGAGGUAUUUCUAGUACAUAAGGGGUUCCUAAAAAUCAUUAUGAUGCAUUUUUCCGCACAAGUGUUAAGAAUUAGAUACUUGUAAAUCUAGAAAGAGAGAUAGUAAGUCUUUCUCAUAACCACACCGCCAAUCUCUAGAAUUCAAAUCUCAAAGUCAUUACUAGGCACAUCUCACUUUUGAUAAUUUAUAUCUCAAUUUUUCUUC